This 200-nucleotide long non-coding RNA is filed under the name Elaeis guineensis (African oil palm). RNAcentral describes it as "long non-coding RNA (EGUI_LNC076517)". The record is from RNAcentral. Lineage: Eukaryota; Viridiplantae; Streptophyta; Magnoliopsida; Arecales; Arecaceae.
UAAAGGAUAGAAGAGAAAAAAUUAACCAGCUAAUUUCAAUCCUCCCACUGACUUCACCAAGUCAGAUUAAAAAAGAUUUAAUUAAAGCCGACAUUAGGAGCACCUAAAUCAGUCACACUGAUUUACCUAAUGAUAUGGGUGAGCCCUAAUCACCAAGUGAUCUAAUCAAAACCUAACUCACCAGGUUGGCCAGGUAAGUG